UACGUAGGUGGCAAGCGUUGUCCGGAUUUACUGGGCGUAAAGGGCGUGCAGGCGGUUUGUUAAGUGCAGGGUGAAAGCUCCCGGCUCAACUGGGAGAGGUCCUUGCAUACUGGCGAACUCGAGGGAGGCAGAGGAAAGUGGAAUUCCCGGUGUAGUGGUGAAAUGCGUAGAUAUCGGGAGGAACACCUGUGGCGAAGGCGGCCCCCUGGUUGGAUACUGACGCUGAGACGCGAAAGCGUGGGGAGCAAACAGG
RNAcentral lists this ribosomal RNA (253 nucleotides) under uncultured bacterium. RNAcentral describes it as "partial 16S ribosomal RNA". It matches the Rfam family "Bacterial small subunit ribosomal RNA", at positions 524 to 776 of the family's 1533-position model. The record is from RNAcentral.